Long non-coding RNA from Aethalodelphis obliquidens (Pacific white-sided dolphin), 1426 nucleotides. RefSeq lists it as uncharacterized. Lineage: Eukaryota; Metazoa; Chordata; Mammalia; Artiodactyla; Delphinidae. The record is from RefSeq and is a predicted model, not a curated record. The transcript is spliced from 2 exons.
CGGCAGGUGGACUCUCAACCACUGCGCCACCGGAGAAGCCCUGUCGGCUUUUUAAUUUCAAGGUCCUGAGUAUCGCCCAGCGUUCUUUGAAUUUUCUGGUAUCUACUGCACCCCAUUGUGCGCGGUACCGGAUGUAGCCACGAGGGGGCGAUAUGAGCCACUGAUUAUUCCCAAUUGAAGGUCUAAAGGAGAAGAGUGCUGACGGUUCACUUUCGUGGCAUUUGACCAAUCACCCAGGAGCUGCGCCGAACCCAAAGUUCUUCAUCUUGGAGUCACCCCGGCUCCAGGGUGGUCCCGGGCGGGCAAAAGGCCCGCGCUGCCCAGGCCUCGAGCACUGGCUAUAGACGCUCAGCCACUUCCUCGAGCAAAGUCCCCUAAAGGGUCCUGACCCGAGAAGCAGUCGGGCUUCUCUCGUUGAUAGAAAAUGUUCCUCACCUUCCUGUCACACUGUGGCCGCUCUUCCCCAUGUUCUUAUAGCCUAAGCUGUGUACUGGGACGGGCGCAGGGAAAGUGAGGACGAGUGAUAGCAAAGCAGAUGCAGGAAGCGGGAAAGAUGAGGAGGAAGACAGCAAGGAACGCAGGAAGGAGAGAGGGCUCUCGAGAGUAGAAUCGGAGGCGGAGGAGGAGGCAAUCCCACGAAGUCCCAAGGGCUGUCCUGAGGGUCUUCAGAGCUCCCAGGGCAGCGGGAAGAGGACACUUGGAAAGAAGAGGAAAAGAACUUUUUUUUUUCCUCGCGGGAAUUUUACCUCAGGGCAGAAAACUCUAGAAAUGGCGGCAGAGCAGGUGGAUUUAGGGGAGCCCUAAAAGUUAUUCCCUGUCGCUCACCCCGAAUGGAUUUCAUUUCAUUCUACGACCAGCAAACCUGAAGAGACGGCCGAGGGCAGGCGAGUCAGGCGCCUCCUGGCGUCGUGGAGGAAGCGGGCUCGGGGCGGAGUGACGAGAGCGCCCGGCGGGAGGCCGCUCCUGGGCCCGCGGGGCUGUGCGCGGCCUGGCUCAGUGGAGGGAGCAGCGGAGCGGCCGUUAGAGGGUUCCAUGGUGUAAUGGACACCUGCCAGAGGAUGAAGGCACACGCACACGGGUGGCGGCCAUCCCCUGCUCAAGCUGGACGUCAUAAAUCAAGCUCCAUGGCACCGCCCGCGCGGAGUAUUCACCGCCCCAUCUCAGGACGCCUCCGCCCUUUCGUUUGGGACUGUCGCUUUCUACGCCAAGUGUUCUGCAAAGUCAAGACAAUUCCUAUUCAAAAUUUUUUCUUCUGUGUUUUCGAAUUUCUCAUUGUUAAUCCCUUGUAGUACGUACGUUUCCUUUCAGACAGUGUAGUUUUCAUCUCUCUACGUUAGAGUGGGUCUUUUUUUUUAAAAUGUUUUUCCGUGUGUACAUUUAACUGUUUUAAGUUACGGAAUACAGGUGGAAUGAAUGUUUUAAUGUC